UUGGUUAAGUUAGAAAGGGCGCACGGUGGAUGCCUUGGCACUAGGAGCCGAAGAAGGACGGGACUAACACCGAUAUGCUUUGGGGAGCUGUACGUAAGCGUUGAUCCAGAGAUUUCCGAAUGGGGGAACCCACUAUCUUUAGUCGGAUAGUAUCCUUACGUGAAUACAUAGCGUGAGGAAGGCAGACCCAGGGAACUGAAACAUCUAAGUACCUGGAGGAAGAGAAAGAAAAAUCGAUUUCCUGAGUAGCGGCGAGCGAAACGGAAAGAGCCCAAACCAAGAAGCUUGCUUCUUGGGGUUGUAGGACACUCUAUAUGGAGUUACAAAAGAAAGUUAUAAAUGAAGCGGUCUGGAAAGGCCCGCCAAAGACGGUAACAGCCCGGUAGUUGAAAUGGCUUUCCCUCCAGAGUGGAUCCUGAGUACGGCGGAACACGUGAAAUUCCGUCGGAAUCCGGGAGGACCAUCUCCCAAGGCUAAAUACUCCCUAGUGACCGAUAGUGAACCAGUACCGUGAGGGAAAGGUGAAAAGCACCCCGGAAGGGGAGUGAAACAGUUCCUGAAACCGUGUGCCUACAAGUAGUUAGAGCCCGUUAAUGGGUGAUAGCGUGCCUUUUGUAGAAUGAACCGGCGAGUUACGAUUUGUUGCAAGGUUAAGCGGAAAAAGCGGAGCCGUAGCGAAAGCGAGUCUGAAUAGGGCGCAUAAGUAACAGGUCGUAGACCCGAAACCAGGUGAUCUACCCAUGUCCAGGAUGAAGGUAAGGUAAUACUUACUGGAGGUCCGAACCCACGCACGUUGAAAAGUGCGGGGAUGAGGUGUGGGUAGCGGAGAAAUUCCAAUCGAACUUGGAGAUAGCUGGUUCUCUCCGAAAUAGCUUUAGGGCUAGCCUCGAGGUAAAGAGUCAUGGAGGUAGAGCACUGUUUGGACUAGGGGCCCUUCUCGGGUUACCGAAUUCAGAUAAACUCCGAAUGCCAUGUACUUAUACUCGGGAGUCAGACUGCGAGUGAUAAGAUCCGUAGUCGAAAGGGAAACAGCCCAGACCACCAGUUAAGGUCCCCAAAUAUAUGUUAAGUGGAAAAGGAUGUGGGGUUGCUUAGACAACCAGGAUGUUGGCUUAGAAGCAGCCACCAUUGAAAGAGUGCGUAAUAGCUCACUGGUCGAGUGACCCCGCGCCGAAAAUGUACCGGGGCUAAACAUAUUACCGAAACUGUGGAUGAACCUCUUUAGAGGUUCGUGGUAGGAGAGCGUUCUAAGGGCGGUGAAGUCAGACCGGAAGGACUGGUGGAGCGCUUAGAAGUGAGAAUGCCGGUAUGAGUAGCGAAAGAAGGGUGAGAAUCCCUUCCACCGAAUAUCUAAGGUUUCCUGAGGAAGGCUCGUCCGCUCAGGGUUAGUCGGGACCUAAGCCGAGGCCGAUAGGCGUAGGCGAUGGACAACAGGUAGAGAUUCCUGUACCAGUGCUAAUUGUUUAACCGAUGGGGUGACACAGAAGGAUAGGGAAUCGCACGAAUGGAAAUGUGCGUCCAAGCAGUGAGUGUGAGAA
This 1538-nucleotide ribosomal RNA is filed under the name Listeria monocytogenes. Its description in RNAcentral is "partial 23S ribosomal RNA". It matches the Rfam family "Bacterial large subunit ribosomal RNA", at positions 1 to 1531 of the family's 2925-position model. Lineage: Bacteria; Bacillati; Bacillota; Bacilli; Caryophanales; Listeriaceae. The record is from RNAcentral.